RNAcentral lists this transfer RNA (75 nucleotides) under Bellamyvirus sp. RNAcentral describes it as "tRNA-Pro". It matches the Rfam family "tRNA". Rfam says of the family: Transfer RNA (tRNA) molecules are approximately 80 nucleotides in length. Their secondary structure includes four short double-helical elements and three loops (D, anti-codon, and T loops). The record is from RNAcentral. Lineage: Duplodnaviria; Heunggongvirae; Uroviricota; Caudoviricetes; Pantevenvirales; Kyanoviridae.
CGGGGCGUAGCUUCCAGUUUGGUAGAGCACUCGCUUUGGGAGCGAGUAUCGUAGGUUCAAAUCCUAUCGCCCCGA